ACAAGUAAAAAAAAAACAAGGAAAUCUUUUUGGAUUUUCUUUUUAGUUCUACUACUCCCUCUGUUCCGUAUUAUUUUGUCGUUGGGCAUUCACAGUUCAACUUCUGUCACGUUCAUUCUCUUUUUGACUUUCCAACUUUAUCCCUCCUUCGCCGCUGUCGCCGCAGCUCCCACUCACUCGCUCGCUGUCUCCCUCUCCCUUUCCUCGUCGCCGCCCUCUCCCUCUCUUCUCUGUCGCCGCAACUCUCCGCCGCAGCUACGCCGGCCGCAUCUCCUUCGCCCCACCCCGUACGCCCUCCUGCACGACCUCGCCGCGCUCGAGCUCGCGGCCCUAUCCGCCUGCGCUGCCGCCCUCUCCGCCCGCGCCGCCGCCUCCCUGGGGGGCGCAGCCGGCCUGCCGCAAGUACACCUACGCCGCUGCCUCCCCGGGGGCCACAAGGUGAAGUGGACGGCCGAGGAGAAGGCUCGCGGCGAGGGUCGGGCGCUCAAGUGCGAGGCAGAGCUCGCCUCCCCCAACGACGGCGGCUUCGACCUGGGAGGCCUAGUCCGAGCCGGCGCCGCCGGCAAGGCCAAGACCAAGUGAGGCGCCGAGGAAGCCAGCGAGGAUGACAAGAAGAAGCCGGCGAGGAAGUGCAUCCAGAUCGAGGAGAUCCCGCCGGCUGUGACGUCCAGAUCAAGAUUCUCUGCGCUGUCCGGGAUGAGAAGAGGAGUAGCAAGAAUCAAGCCCAAUACAGAGAGGAGAGGAGCAGCAGAAGUGGACAGCGCAGCAGCUGACCUCGAGCUCUUGAUUGGAGUGGGGGGAGGCGGCCGGCGAGGGGUCUGUGGCCAGCAGGGAAGGAUCUGAAGCCGCGGCGGAGCAGGCAGCCGGCGAGGGAGCUGCGGACCUCGGCGGGGAAGGGCGGCCGGCGAGGGAGCUGCGGACCGCCGCGGGGAAGGGCGGCUAGCGUGGGAGCUUCGGACCGUGGCGGGGAAGGACGCCAGAGACGCGAACGGCGGAGGAGCCCGGCGGAAGGGAGGAGUGACGGCGGAGAAGCCUGGCAGAGGGGAGGAGCGACGUAGGAAGACGCCUCCUGAUCGAUUUCAAAUCGGGGGUACUUCCAUAAUUUCACAUCAUUUCACCUGGUCGGAACAGAACCUCCAGCGACAAAUAAUACGGAACAGAGGGAGUACUAAGCAUGCAUGGAAAGUAAAUUACUACAACU
Molecule: non-coding RNA, 1201 nt
Organism: Aegilops tauschii subsp. strangulata
Lineage: Eukaryota; Viridiplantae; Streptophyta; Magnoliopsida; Poales; Poaceae
Source: RefSeq, a predicted model, not a curated record